UUGGGAUAUAGCCAAGUGGUAAGGCAAUGGACUUUGACUUCAUCAUGCGUUGGUUCGAAUCCAACUAUCCCAAUUUG
RNAcentral lists this transfer RNA (77 nucleotides) under Lactobacillus gasseri 202-4. RNAcentral describes it as "tRNA-Gln". It matches the Rfam family "tRNA". From Rfam's summary of the family: Transfer RNA (tRNA) molecules are approximately 80 nucleotides in length. Their secondary structure includes four short double-helical elements and three loops (D, anti-codon, and T loops). Further hydrogen bonds mediate the characteristic L-shaped molecular structure. tRNAs have two regions of fundamental functional importance: the anti-codon, which is responsible for specific mRNA codon recognition, and the 3' end, to which the tRNAs corresponding amino acid is attached (by aminoacyl-tRNA synthetases). tRNAs cope with the degeneracy of the genetic code in two manners: having more than one tRNA (with a specific anti-codon) for a particular amino acid; and 'wobble' base-pairing, i.e. permitting non-standard base-pairing at the 3rd anti-codon position. The record is from RNAcentral. Lineage: Bacteria; Bacillati; Bacillota; Bacilli; Lactobacillales; Lactobacillaceae.